RNAcentral lists this ribosomal RNA (253 nucleotides) under uncultured bacterium. Its description in RNAcentral is "partial 16S ribosomal RNA". It matches the Rfam family "Bacterial small subunit ribosomal RNA", at positions 524 to 776 of the family's 1533-position model. The record is from RNAcentral.
UACGUAGGGUGCAAGCGUUAAUCGGAAUUACUGGGCGUAAAGCGCACGUAGGCGGUUUUGCAAGACAGAUGUGAAAUCCCCGGGCUCAACCUGGGAACUGCAUUUGUGACUGCAAGGCUAGAGUACGGCAGAGGGGGAUGGAAUUCCGCGUGUAGCAGUGAAAUGCGUAGAUAUGCGGAGGAACACCAAUGGCGAAGGCAAUCCCCUGGGCCUGUACUGACGCUCAUGCACGAAAGCGUGGGGAGCAAACAGG